Molecule: ribosomal RNA, 523 nt
Filed under: Sostea sp. UPOL RK0685
Lineage: Eukaryota; Metazoa; Arthropoda; Insecta; Coleoptera; Dryopidae
Description: partial 16S ribosomal RNA
Rfam family: Bacterial large subunit ribosomal RNA
Source: RNAcentral
CAUGUCCUUUAGUUUAAAAUUUAAGGUUUAGCCUGCCCAGUGAUUAUAUAAAUGGCCGCGGUAUUUUGACCGUGCAAAGGUAGCAUAAUAAUUAGUUUUUUAAUUGGAAACUGGAAUGAAUGGUUGAACGAGAUGAUUUCUGUCUCUUUAAUAAUUUUAUUAAAAUUUAAUUUUUAAGUUAAAAAGCUUAAAUGUUUUAAUAAGACGAGAAGACCCUAUAGAGUUUAAUAUUUAAUUUAAUAUAAGAUUUUAGAAUUUAUUAUUAUAUUGAAAUUAAUUAUUUUGUUGGGGUGACAAAAAGAUAAAAUUAACUCUUUUUAUUUUAUAAUACUAAUUAGUAAAUUUUUGAUCCAUUUUUUAUGAUUAUAAGAUUAAAUUACCUUAGGGAUAACAGCGUUAUUUUUUUGAAGAGUUCAAAUCGAUAAAAGAAAUUGCGACCUCGAUGUUGGAUUAAAAUUUAUAUUAGGUGUAGAAGCUUAAAUAUUGGGUCUGUUCGACCUUUAAAAUUUUACAUGAUCUGAGU